Molecule: ribosomal RNA, 498 nt
Filed under: Triticum aestivum (bread wheat)
Lineage: Eukaryota; Viridiplantae; Streptophyta; Magnoliopsida; Poales; Poaceae
Description: partial small subunit ribosomal RNA
Source: RNAcentral
AUGAACUCCUCCUCGGCCCCGGGACCGGACGGUCUCCCAGUAGCUUUCUUCAAGGCGUUCUGGCCUACCAUCAAACCCGAGGUCAUGGCUCUCUUUGAGGAAUUCUACUCGGGUUCCAUGGAUUUGGGGCGCCUCAACUAUGGGGUGGUGACCCUCAUCCCCAAGGUCCCGGGCGCCUCCGUUAUUCGCCAGUUCCGCCCCAUCACAGUGAUUAAUGUGAUUUUUAGGAUCCUGGCGAAGGGGUACGCCAAUAGGGUGACCCUCCUUGCGGCCACAAUCACCCACCCGAACCAAUCCGCCUUCAUUCGAGGCCGAUUUAUCCUUGAUGGGGUGUUGGUGUUCCACGAAGUGCUCCACGAGGUCCGUCUGAAGCGCCAUAGGGCGGUCUUCCUUAAGUUGGACUUCCACAAAGCCUAUGACACGGUGCACUGGCCGUUCCUGAGGGAAGUCUUGCUUCGCAAGGGCUUUGACGACCGUUGGGUGACCCGCGUCAUGUAG